Molecule: transfer RNA, 76 nt
Filed under: Escherichia coli
Lineage: Bacteria; Pseudomonadati; Pseudomonadota; Gammaproteobacteria; Enterobacterales; Enterobacteriaceae
Also listed under: 12 other names
Description: tRNA-Ala
Rfam family: tRNA
About the family: Transfer RNA (tRNA) molecules are approximately 80 nucleotides in length.
Source: RNAcentral
GGGGCUAUAGCUCAGCUGGGAGAGCGCCUGCUUUGCACGCAGGAGGUCUGCGGUUCGAUCCCGCUUAGCUCCACCA